CUUAAUCCAAUCCUGGACUUUUCAGACCAUUUCUCAAGUCUUGUUCUUUUCUCCUGGGGGGAUCUUCUAAAUGCCCCCAGCUGCAAAUGAACAAAUAGCAGUUCUCAAUUUUUCCCACCAAAAGGGAGACUCCAUCCACCUUUGACGUCACAGGGAGUCCCCAACCAAUGACAUCUCAGAUCCUAACUUGACCAUUCCUGAACCAAUCAGAGGAGGCAGCAGGUCUUCUGAAUGACUGCCAAAGGGGAUAAAAUGCUUUGCACUAUAUUGUGUGUUACUGGAGUGAUUACAUUAUGUUCUGACAUCCAACUGGCCAGAUGAAUCCUCUGUUACUGCCUUCAAAUCCAGGACCUGCAGGCUAUAAUGGAGAGGAAGGAAUGGGCAAAGCUAUGCAAUGGGAAUAGUGUACAGGCAGUCCCCAAGUAAAAAGAAGAUACUGAUUUAUAAAGAAGAAAUGAAGAGAUAUAUGACACCUGGCUUGAUAGCAGUACGUAUAAAAAGAAUUUAGGGGUCUUAGUAGACUACAAGUUGAAUAUGAGUCAACAGUAUGAUGUAGUAGCCAAAAAAGCCAAAGCGAUUCUAGACUGCAUCAAUAGGAGUGUAGUGUCUAGAUCAAGAGAAGUAAUAGUACCAUUCUAUCCAUCUUUGAUCAGACCUCACCAGGAAAUAUAUUGAAAAGCUGGAAGAUGUCUAAAGAAGAGAAGAGAAAUGAUCAAAGGUCUGGAAGCCAUGCUUUAGGGAUCAGGAUAUGUUUACAAUUUUUAAGUGAUAACUGAACUUUUAAAUAAACAUUUUAUAGGUAUAAGAAAGGCAUCACCUGAAUAUGGGUGAUUUUGUGUUGUGUGUGAACACUGCUACCUACUUUUUCAAUAGUUUGCAGAGACAUAAUAAAUCUCUUUCCCACACAUUCCUUUUAAAUGUUUCUAAAAAAAAUCCCUCCCCCAUUCUGAUAAGGGGAAUUUGUGUAAUCUGAUCCCAUUAGUGUGGCCCGUACCAGCCUACAGAAAAAUCCUGAAUGGAAUUAAUGCAAUGCACUAGCCAAGCAACUUUAGCUCAGGGGCUAACACGGUAUUUUUGUUCUUUCCCAGGCAAGGCUUAAGAAUCUUUGAUGUCACUGAGAAUAUUUAAAGCCUCUUUUAAUUUUAACUCCUGCUUUGCAGGAAGCGGGAUAUUAAUUCGUUAAACUGUCUGAGAUGCAUGUGAAUAUUUCUGGAAUGCUGGUCAUUGAGUGUGUGAAACAACUAGCAAUUUUGAUUUGCGAGUAAGACACCAAUGACUAAAGGAAGAAACUAAGGCUUCAUUGUAAGGAUUCCAUUAAAGUUGGGAAAUCUAUCUGAGGGGGCUAAGGUAUGGCAGAACUGGUUUCAGUUUUAGUCCAAUUGAGAUAAUAAGAAGGUGGGUGGAGAAGAGGUGGACAGAUCUUGACUGUACGUUUAUAUUUCAGAGAGACUGAGAUAGAGAUAAGGACAUUUUCAUACCCUUCAAUAUUUCACAUAUUAAAACUGGGACACAUAUAGCCAAGCAACAUUAGAGUGUGGUCAUUAUGAUAAAAGGUAUUAAUGGAAAAGCAAAGAGAGGCCACAGCAGUUUGCCUUUGCUUAGCCCACCUGGGAAGGUCACAAUUCUGCCUCCAUUUGAAGUGUCUAUGGAUGAAGGAGAAAAGUAAGAGGGGCCAGAACGUUGAACAUUUUAAAAAACAAGUAGAAUGAAUAUUUUGUUUGAUGCGGAUAAAUGAAACUCUACCAGUCCUGCAGAUAUGAAAGUCAUAUACAUGUACUUAGUGGAGGAAACUGAGGUUGUUUUGUGUAAAUUUAAAAUGACUUAUUAACUAUACCUCAUCAUCUUUCAGGAUUUCUGUUAUAUUCAGGAUAGGUGUUAGGAAAAGAUGUUUUCCAAGUCUUUCAAUAGAUCAGGUAUUUAUCAAGUCCUGACAAAAUGUUUUGGCAGUUUCCCCAGCAUAGUUGAAUAGCAUUGCUUCAAGAUGAAGUUGAACUGAUGUUCUAAUGUGCCCAUCUUUCAAUGUACUGUCUCUAGUUUAGGAAAAUUCCAGCAUGAGGCCAACUGUCCCAACUUGAGAAAGUUCCCUUUAAUCCUCUGCCACCCCACUCUUUCAGAUGCUUAUGAAAUGUCUCCAUCAUCUUUUUGCCUUUGCCGUCUUGACCACACUGAUCUUGUAUGUCCCAGUUUUAUCUGUGAAAUAUUGAAGGGUAUGUCUGCUGGCUGGUUUAUUUGUUUGUUACACCCAAACCCUGAUACUCUCUGGGUAUAACCCAGAAUAUCAAGACAGAAAAUCCCACAAUACCUGCUUUGAACUGGGUUAUGAGAGUCCACACUGCCAUAUAUUCCCGUUUAAAGCAAAACAUGUGGGAUUUUAUUCAGCUGUGUGGAAGGGGCCUGAGUAGCACACAGGAAAACUGAAACCAUAGAAUACAAAAUAGCAAAUGAUGAAUGAAAACAGCAUAUGGUAAAACCAAAACAACACAGUACAUUGCAUACAAUUCAAAGGAAAGAAAACAUUAGUAAAAAAAAAAGGUGACCAUUUGAAAGCACUAGAAUGUAUUUUCAAAAUGUCUAGAUUUACUUUGUGCUGAAAAGAUAAUUCCAUUGGCAUCAGGUAAACCUCUUUGGAAAAGGCAUUUCAUAGAAUAGAGAGGAAGUCACCAAAAAGCUGCUCUUCCUUAUAGCCAUCUGCUGUAUCCAAUUUGGCAGUAGCAUCUGAAAGACGGGAUUUGACCAAGACUUUAAGUAUAAAAUGUUUACUGAAUGAUUUAUUGAAUACCAGAGAUUGUAAGAAGGCAUUGAUACAUUAAAACAUCCCCCCCCCCCCCGCAAAUAAUCGUUACUGUUCCAUUAUCUGGGAAGAAGCCACAAGGAGGCACUAGAGAGAAGGAUAAUCCAUUUUAUGCGGGGAGUUGAAAGAGGAAAUCCAUUUCCCCCAUUUUCGUUGAUUAUUCCCUCUCCCCACUUCCCAUGUUAUAAACGAGGGUUUCUUCCACAACGGGAACAUGGGUGGGGGGAAUAACAGGAAAACAGAGGAAAAUAGUUUUCCUCCUUCAACUCACCCUCCACCCCUGUAAAAUGGACUAUCCUUCUCUCUCUAGCGCCCCUUGUGGCAUCAGACUGGGUAAUCCGACUGGGGGCCGGGCUGUGGCGCAGGCUGUUGAGCAGCUGCAAUAAAUCACUCUGACCAUGAGGUCAUGAGUUCGAGGCCAGCCCAUGGCGGGGUGAACUCCCGUCAAUUAAAAAUAAAAAAUAAAAAAUAGUUGCAUCUAUCAAGUAGUAAAUAAGGUACCACUUAUAAAACUGGGGAGGCAAGUUUAACUAAUUUACGACUUGGAAUGAGGAAGUGCCAUCACAGUGGAUGAUGAAGCAGCUGCUCCCCCCUGUGGCCAGAAUCGAACAUCCCCUCAGGAGAAGGUUAAAUUGCCUCUGUGUCUGUCUGUCUCGAUCUCUGUUUGACGUGUUUAUGGGCAUUGAAUGUUUGCCCUAUGUGUGUAUAAUGUGAUCUGCCCUGAGUCCGGGGUGAGAAGGGCGGAAUAUAAAUACUGUAAAAAUAAAUAAAUAAAUAAAUAAAUAAUCUAGUUGAACCAGUAUCUCUUUUUCUAGGAGACAGCCUUUCAAUUUGUCCAUUUCUCCUUAAUUCGUUCAUUGUGUUUUUAUUCUUUGGUGUAACACAACACCAACAAGAACAGGAGGCAGAGAGGGAGGGAAGGGCAGGAAGAUAAAGCCUGUGGCACAUUACCUUGUGGUUGAGAGAAAGAUGUGGCAAAGGAAAACCUGCAGAGUGGAAAGACGGGGAGGAAAGGAGUAGACAAAGAUGCAACUCACUGAGACCACAGUAUUACACAAUAGUAUUUCCUAUCCUAAUAUUUAUUUAAACCAGAAAUAUUUUAAUGACUUUUAAAUGAGUGGUUUAGGGCAGCCAACAGCAAAUGCUAAUGAUCAAACUUCUACAGAAACUGGGGUACAUUGAUCUGUGUGAGCAAGUAGUCUUGGCUUAUGAGAACUGCAGUGUGCCAAACAUGCCUCUAUUUUCAUCUGUGAAAUGUUUGAAAGUAGGCAUGCCGCAAAUAAUUUCUUAGCCUCUUAUGAAGUCACGCGAUUCCUUGUUGUUUUUGCUACCACAAAAUAAAGAGCUGCUUUUCUAAAAUAAAAUAUGUUUCAAAUCAACUCCUCUUUUAAGAAGCUGAAAAUAGUCAAAUUCUGUAUUCAUGUUUGUCCUUUUUGUAGUUUCCAGUUAGUAACAGGAAGGUAUUAAUUUCAUUUUGGUGUAAGACACCCCCUGGAUAAAUGUAUUCCUGCAAAUGCUUCAUUUGGAAGUACUAUUAUUUCCUUGCGUUAAUCAGUUUUGGAGGCUUCCCAAAGCUUUUACUCCUCUCUCAAAGCUUCAUUGUUUCACCAAAACCAUUCCAAGGGCUAGGAUUGCUUUUUCACAAUGUGCAUAACCUCAGUCAUGGUUGCUGUCUCCUGCCAAAAUGACUGUGUCACACUAGUGUUGACAGUCACAUAAAGUGAAACCACUUGGUUUAUUGAGGCGUGGACUUCAAAGCCAAGCUAAGACCCAUUGUACUAUUGCAGUGAAGUUUAAUUACAAGGAGGAGCUGAAGCUCAGUUUGGGUUUCGAUUGAAGCUCCAGGCCAAAAAUAUCCCACCAAAUCUAAAGUAGACACUGUCAUCUGAUGCCAACUCAGCACACUUGAAGUGGAGAGAAGAAAAGUCUGAAGCUCUGACAUCCACAUUUUGGGAGCAGUGAACAAACGUAUUGAUUGAUGCCUGGAAUAUGAUGGUAGCUCAAUACUUUUAAAAGAAAAGUUUGCUUUGCCUGAUUUUAUGAUAGCAGCCACAUAGGUAGGAUGGACUGGGGUGGACUGGGACCAUAGGUUAGCAGCUGACCAUGCCUUUCAGAACCCACUUGACCAGCAAUUCUCCUCCUGUAGUUCUUGCCAUGGAAGGAAGAAGAGGAGAGAAUGAGAAAUAUGGCAGCAACUCUGGGGCCUUUGCAUGGAGAGAGACAUGCUAUUCCUUUCUUUCUCACUCUGUUACAAUGAGGGUUCAGGGCUAGAGAGGCAGGUAUGUGUUAAUGAUGUGGGUGGAACCUCAAACACUUAAUUAUGGCUAUUAAAAUGUGAACUUUCCACACUUUGUGCUUCUAGGCCACCAGUCUAGAAGAUUCAUCACUGCAUAAAGAGCAAAGUGAAUUAAUUUUUUAAGCAACCAGUGGGCUUCUGAAAUCAUGGGCAUUGUGUGAUACUUACAACGCUUUGAAUUCAGAUUCUACAUAGGUAUUAACUCCAAACACUGCACAGGUGCAGAUAUACGUAGGUGCUACAUAUUUAUAGACUCUACAUUGUGACUGAUGUUGUGUGUUUUCAAGGUGUUUCUGACUCAUGCCAACCCUAAGGUUAACCUAUUACAGGCUUUCCUUGGCAAGAUUUCUUCAGAGUGGGUUUACUUUUGCCUUUUUCUGAGGCUUAGAAUGUGUGACAUGCACAUUGUCCCCCACUGUUGUUGUUGUUGUUGUUUUUUUUUUUUUUUGGCCAAGCAGGGAUUCAGUUUCCAGAGUCAUAAUCCAAUACUCAAACCACUAUAGAAUGUUGUCUGUCUCUCAGAGUGCAUCUUUGAAUGUGUGUGGUUGCAGGUCCAAAGAGCCCAUGACUUCCAGGGCUUGCAGCCGAGCUCUGAGUGCCAAAUGCCUAGUAAGAGGCGCUCUGCGCUCUGCUCAGCGCUCGGCACUCAGCUGCAAGCCCUGGCAGUCAGGCGCUUUGGGCCUGCAGGUCACACACAUACUCUCUUAAAGAGAGUCUAUUUCCAAGUUACUGGAUGUUGAAAAGUACAGGGGGGGCCUUGCUACCCAUUUAAAAAGAUAAUGGAGCCUGAAGAAGAGCCAAGGGCUGCAAAAACAGCAUCAAUGAGCCACAGACUGCAUUUUGCCUAUCUGGAUUCAGAGACAGGGGUUUAUCCCACCAAUUCUAACAACUCAAAUGAAUGCUGGAGAGAGUCUGAGGAUCAGUGAAAUGGUGAGACCCUCUAGCCCUAAAACUGAGGGGAAGGGGAGCAUAGGAAGCCUGCCCAUUGCCGCCAAUGGGAUGAAAAUUAGGCGACCAAACGGGUACCGUUCCCACUUUCCUUUCAUUUCACUGCUUUUUCCAUUUGGCAAGUGGUCUCCUGUAUCAUGCCAAACGAAUGAACGGCGCAAAACAAAAACACAGAUGAAACAAAUGAGGCAAAAUUCGGGCCCAUUUACUGUUCCCUACCUCACCAAACUAUGACUCCCCUAACUCCAUAUUAUUGAGCCAUGGCAGUUACAGUGUCAAAUAGCAUUAAUUCUCCAGUAUAGAUGCAUCUACUCUACAAAAGUAAUAUAAGCCUAGGGUGUAUCUGCAUUUUGGAUUUAAUGCAAUUUGUCAAUUCUUAAAUUAGGUAAGCAGGGCUGGCUUGCAGUUUUAAAUACAUUUACUAAACAAUACAUUUAGGAAAUGUGCUCAUUGGGUUUGACUUUUCAGAAAACACAUACAGGAUUUUUCUGAAAGUUUAUUAAAGGUAAAGGUAAAGGUUUUCCCCUGACGUUAAGUUCAGUCGUGACCGACUCUGGGGGUUGGUGCUCAUCUCCAUUUCUAAGCUGAAGAACCGGCGUUGUCCGUAGACACCUCCAAGGUCAU
Anolis carolinensis (green anole) is the source of this 6659-nucleotide long non-coding RNA. RefSeq lists it as uncharacterized. NCBI's taxonomy places the organism in Eukaryota, Metazoa, Chordata, Lepidosauria, Squamata, Anolidae. The record is from RefSeq and is a predicted model, not a curated record. The transcript is spliced from 3 exons.